GCUUAUCCGAAGAAGUGCAUCGGAAACUGGGUGACUUGAGUGCAGAAGAGGACAGUGGAACUCCAUGUGUAGCGGUGGAAUGCGUAGAUAUAUGGAAGAACACCAGUGGCGAAGGCGGCUGUCUGGUCUGCAACUGACGCUGAGGCUCGAAAGCAUGGGUAGCGAACAGGAUUAGAUACCCUGGUAGUCCAUGCCGUAAACGAUGAGUGCUAGGUGUUGGAGGGUUUCCGCCCUUCAGUGCCGGAGCUAACGCAUUAAGCACUCCGCCUGGGGAGUACGACUGCAAGGUUGAAACUCAAAGGAAUUGACGGGGGCCCGCACAAGCGGUGGAGCAUGUGGUUUAAUUCGAAGCUACGCGAAGAACCUUACCAGGUCUUGACAUCUUGCGCUAACCUAAGAGAUUAGGUGUUCCCUUCGGGGACGCAAUGACAGGUGGUGCAUGGUCGUCGUCAGCUCGUGUCGUGAGAUGUUGGGUUAAGUCCCGCAACGAGCGCAACCCUUGUUACUAGUUGCCAGCAUUCAGUUGGGCACUCUAGUGAGACUGCCGGUGACAAACCGGAGGAAGGUGGGGACGACGUCAGAUCAUCAUGCCCCUUAUGACCUGCGCUACACACGUGCUACAAUGGUCGGUACAACG
This 637-nucleotide ribosomal RNA is filed under the name uncultured bacterium. RNAcentral's name for it is "bacterial SSU rRNA". It matches the Rfam family "Bacterial small subunit ribosomal RNA", at positions 607 to 1244 of the family's 1533-position model. The record is from RNAcentral.